AAUUUUAGCUGGGAUUAUGCUGUGAUUAUGUUUGGCUUAACAGUAAUGAAAAUAAGUUUAGGCUGGGUGCGGUGGCUCAUGCCUGUAAUCCCAGCACUUUAGGAGGCUGAGGCAAGCGGAUCACCUGAGGUCAGGGGUUCGAGACAAGCCUGACCAAGAUGGAGAAACCCCGUCUCUACCAAAAAUACAAAAUUAGCCGGGUGUGGUGGCGUCUGCCUGUAAUCCCAGCUACUGGGGAAGCGGAGGACAAUCGCUUGAACCCAGAAGGCAGAGGUUGUGGUGAGCCGAGAUCUCGCCAUUGCACUCCAGCCUGGACAACAACAGCGAAACUUCAUCUCAAAACAAUAAUAAGUUUACAACCUCUGAAUAUGUACCAAAUGGAGCCAGGGGUGGGGAGUAUUAGGACAAGCCCCGCACUGCAGAGCCCCCCAGCUCUCACUCGUGGACCAAGUGCAUGGGACACAGCCAUUCGGAAAGCUCUUUCUUUUGGAGUGGGUCUGGGUGUUCUGGUUUUGGUUUGCUUGUUUUAUCAUUUUGUGACAUUGGCGCCUAUUCUUCAGUUUGCAUCCCUGCCUUGCUUGCUUGAAGCUGGAGCACAAAUGUCCCGUCACCCUGUAACAACACAAGUAUGCGUCAUGCCUGCGAGGCUUAGCUUGGGAAGUGGAAUCUCCAGGAAUCUCCUUCGGUUGUCUGUCUGCCACUUUACACUGUUGCUCCCAUUUCGGUCACUGAGGCCCUGUCCCUUAUCCUCCAGGGACAUGGUGCUGUCCUAUGAGCUCUGGCUCCUUUGUGACUUUUACAUUGCUCCUCCAGAUAGCAGUGGCAGUGGCAUUUGCAAAAAGGCUAUUUGAGAACAAAUAAGAAAAAAUCUUCAAAGCGAAGAUGAUAGUAAAACAGCCCUCAUUUUUCAAAGUCCAUUCUUUUUUCUGGUCCGUGCACUGCCAGCUCACUUCUCUGGCUAAAACCCGGGGGCGGCGGGGGUGUGUGUGGGGGUUAGUUUUGCAAAAAGUACUGAUGGCACCGCUGUGCUCCAAGUUAACCAGAACACAAGAAUCGAAAAAGCCUGUGAGAUACUGGUGCUCGUGAUCGUAAGCUCCAGGUCGGGGGGUUUUCAGAUGAACACAAAAAGGGGGCUGCUCCCGUCCCAAGAUGAGUGAUAAAUGAGUCACUUCUCAUACUCGCACUCACACUCGCUCCAUUUCCUCUGGGAUGACUGUCUUCCGUCCUACCGCUGUGGCUGCUGUUAUUUGCCUGAUAAACUUCUUUCCCUCUCCCUCCCUCUGACACAGAAACACACACACACACACACACAGACACACACACACACACACAGCCCGCUGGAUCUAUAAGCAGUUUGUAACAGGAUGCACCAGUUCUAAUCACGUUUCAAGUCAAAUGAACCAGUCGCAGCUUCCUAAUAAGUGAAUGGCUGACAUAAGGAGUUAAUUCAGAAGCAGCUCAAUACUAUGGACAAUACUAGUGGACAAUAUUAGCAUACUGCUCGUACAACAAAGAUACCGUAGUCUCUGGUGCUGCCUCUUCAGGACGAAUUUGCUGAAAGUGAGUUGUAAUUAGAGAUGUUAAAAAAAACAUUGGCUGCGCGCGAUGGCUUACUCCUGUAAUCCCAGCACUUUUGGAGGCGAGGCAGGUGGAUGACCUGAGGUUAGGAGUUCGAGACCAGCCUGGCUAACAUGGCGAAACCCCAUCUCUACUAAAAAUACAAAAAAUUAGCCAGGCAUCGUGGUGGGCACCUGUAAUCUCAGCUACUUGGGAGGCUGAGGCCGAAGAAUUUCUUGAACCUGGGAGGUGGAGGUUGCAGUGACCCGAGAUCAUGCCAUUGCACUCCAGCCUGGGCAACAAGAGUGAAAUUGUGUCUCAAAUAAUAAUAAUAAUAAUAAUAAACUGAGAUUUAUCAUUCCUCCUCUCUCCUUUUCCUUGAGAACUUAAUAAAAAUGGAAAAUAUCCAUUA
RNAcentral lists this long non-coding RNA (1969 nucleotides) under Homo sapiens (human). Its description in RNAcentral is "long independently transcribed non-coding RNA 2905 (LINC02905)". Lineage: Eukaryota; Metazoa; Chordata; Mammalia; Primates; Hominidae. The record is from RNAcentral.